GCCAGUAAUAUACGCUUGUCUCAAAGGUUAAGCCCCCUUUGUCUAAGUACGAGCAACAUUAAUGUGAAACCGCAUAAGGCUCAGUAUAACAGCUAUAAUUUACAAGAUCAUCGCCAAAGUUACUUGGAUAACGGGGGAAAAUCUAGAGCUAAUACAUGCAAAAUGCCAGGACCUCGCGGAACUGGUGCACUUAUUAGAAAAACCAACCACGCGCCCCUCGCGGGGCCGUGCCUGGAGUUGAAAUCUGGAUAAUGAUGCCGAUCGUAUGGUCUCGCACCGACAACAGAUCUUUCAAAUAUCUGCCCUAUCAACUAUUGAUGGUAGUAUAAAGGACUACCAUGGUUGCAACGGGUAACGGGGAAUCGGGGUUCGAUUCCGGAAAGGGAGCCUGAGAAACGGCUACCACUUCUACGGAGGGCAGCAGGCGCGCAAAUUACCCAAUCCUGACUCAGGGAGGUGGGGACAAAUAAUAACGAUAC
This 479-nucleotide ribosomal RNA is filed under the name uncultured eukaryote. Its description in RNAcentral is "bacterial SSU rRNA". It matches the Rfam family "Eukaryotic small subunit ribosomal RNA", at positions 16 to 486 of the family's 1831-position model. The record is from RNAcentral.